GCGGGAAUCCAAACGGGAAAGCCAUAUCCGUAUUGGCAACGCAUUCGUAAUGCGUAGGUCCGCAGUUCGGGUCUGCGUUCCGGCACCA
Molecule: transfer RNA, 88 nt
Filed under: Gammaproteobacteria bacterium
Lineage: Bacteria; Pseudomonadati; Pseudomonadota; Gammaproteobacteria
Description: tRNA-Pro
Source: RNAcentral